RNAcentral lists this transfer RNA (63 nucleotides) under Atkinsoniella grahami. RNAcentral describes it as "tRNA-Glu". RNAcentral also lists the same sequence under 2 other names. The record is from RNAcentral. Lineage: Eukaryota; Metazoa; Arthropoda; Insecta; Hemiptera; Cicadellidae.
AUUUAUAUAGUUUAUUAAAACAUUUUAUUUUCAUUAAAAAAAUGGUUAAAUAACCUAUAAAUU